RNAcentral lists this long non-coding RNA (1599 nucleotides) under Malus domestica (apple). RNAcentral's name for it is "long non-coding RNA (MDOM_LNC001397)". Lineage: Eukaryota; Viridiplantae; Streptophyta; Magnoliopsida; Rosales; Rosaceae. The record is from RNAcentral.
GGUACUUGACUUUCAACACUUGGUGGUGCAGGAGCAUUAUUUGGUGGCUCUGACGGUACAUGUUCAGUACUUGGUGGUGGAGAAGCAGUUUUUGGUGGCAUAGGCGGUACAUGGCCUUCAACACUUGGUGGUGGAGGAGAAUUAGUCGGUGGCAUAGAUCGUACAUGGCCUUCAACACUUGGUGGCGGAGGAUCAUUAUUUGGUGGUGCAGUAGGUACAUGAACUUCAAUGCUUAGUGGUGGAGGAACUUUAAUUGGUGGCGUAGGCGGUACACGACCUUCAACACUUGGUGAUGGAGGAGAAUUAGCUGGUGGCAAAGAUGGUACAUGACCUUCAACACUUGGUAGUGGAGGAGCAUCUUUUGGUGGCACCGACGGUGCUUGACUUUCAACACUUGGUGGUGGAGGAGAAGCAUCUUUUGGUCGCAAAGGCGGUACUUGACUUUCAACACUUGGUGGUGGAGGAGCAUUAUUUGGUGGCUCUGACGGUACAUGUUCAGUACUUAGUGGUGGAGAAGCAGUUUUUGGUGGCAUAGGCGGUACAUGGCCUUCAACACUUGCAGGUGGAGGAGAAUUAGUUGGUGGCAUAGAUGGUACAUGACCUUCAACACUUGGUGGCGGAGGAGCGUUAUUUGGUGGUGUAGUAGGUACAUGAACUUCAAUGCUUAGUGGUGGAGGAACAUUAAUUGGUGGCGUAGGCGGUACACGACCUUCAACACUUGGUGAUGGAGGAGAAUUAGCUGGUGGCAAAGAUGGUACAUAACCUUCAACACUUGGUAGUGGAGGAGUAUCUUUUGGUGGCACCGACGGUACUUGACUUUCAACACUUGGUGGUGGAGGAGCAUUAGUUGCUGGCGCUAACGGUACAUGAACUUCAGUACUUAGUGGUGGAGGAGCAGUUUUUGGUGGCAUAGGUGGUACAUGGCCUUCAUCACUUGCUGGUGGAGGAGAAUUAGGAGGUGGCAUAGAUGGUACAUGACCUCCAACACUUGGUGGUGGAGGAGCAUUAUUUGGUGGUGCAGAAGGUACAUGAACUUCAAUGCUUAGUGGAGGAGGAACGUUAAUUGGUGGCUUAGGCGGUACAUGACCUUCAACACUUGGUGGUGGAGGAGAAUUAGUUGGUGGCACAGACGGUACAUGACCUUCAACACUUGGUGGUGGAGGAGCAUUAUUUGGUAGCGUAGAUGGUACAUGAACUUCCAUCCUUAGUGGUGGAGGAGCACCUUUUGGUGGCAGAGACGGUACUUGAUUUUCGACACUUGGUGGUGGAGGAGCAUUAGUUGCCGGAGCUGACGGUACAUGAACUUCAGUGCUUAGUGGUGGAGGAGCAAUUUUUGGUGGCAUAGGCGGUACAUGGCCUUCAACACUUGCUGGUGGAGGAGAAUUAGGAGGUGGCAAAGAUGGUACAUGACCUCCAACACUUGGUGGUGGAGGAGCAGUUUUUGGUGGCAUAGGCGGUAGAUGGCCUUCAACACUUGGUGGUGAAGGAGCAUUAUUUGGUGGUGCAGUAGGUACAUGAACUUCAAUGCUCAGUGGUGGAGGAACAUUAACUUGUGGCGUAGGCGGUACAUGACCUUCAACACUUGGUGGUGGAGGAGAA